Molecule: unclassified non-coding RNA, 255 nt
Filed under: Hevea brasiliensis (rubber tree)
Lineage: Eukaryota; Viridiplantae; Streptophyta; Magnoliopsida; Malpighiales; Euphorbiaceae
Source: RNAcentral
AGCUUCUGCUUACAUGGGUGGCGGCGGUGGUUAUGCUGCUGGGAAUGGGAACUCGGGAUAUCAAGCUUCCUGGAGGUCGAAUCCUUCACAAGGUGGAGGUUAUGGAGCUGGUCAGGUGAACGGCCCUCCUGGUGGGCCUGCUAGUUAUGGCAGUGGUGGGUAUCCUGGUGCUCAACACCAGUAAUGGUGAAUGCUGCCAUUUCUUUUCAAACUGCGAAUCUGUGCUCAUUGUUUAUUUUUUAAUGUUGAAUUGUG